GAUGAACGCUGGCGGCGUGCCUAAUACAUGCAAGUCGAGCGAACAGACGAGGAGCUUGCUCCUCUGACGUUAGCGGCGGACGGGUGAGUAACACGUGGAUAACCUACCUAUAAGACUGGGAUAACUUCGGGAAACCGGAGCUAAUACCGGAUAAUAUAUUGAACCGCAUGGUUCAAUAGUGAAAGAGGGUUUUGCUGUCACUUAUAGAUGGAUCCGCGCCGCAUUAGCUAGUUGGUAAGGUAACGGCUUACCAAGGCAACGAUGCGUAGCCGACCUGAGAGGGUGAUCGGCCACACUGGAACUGAGACACGGUCCAGACUCCUACGGGAGGCAGCAGUAGGGAAUCUUCCGCAAUGGGCGAAAGCUUGACGGAGCAACGCCGCGUGAGUGAUGAAGGUCUUCGGAUCGUAAAACUCUGUUAUUAGGGAAGAACAAAUGUGUAAGUAACUAUGCACGUCUUGACGGUACCUAAUCAGAAAGCCACGGCUAACUACGUG
Molecule: ribosomal RNA, 497 nt
Filed under: uncultured bacterium
Lineage: Bacteria
Description: partial 16S ribosomal RNA
Rfam family: Bacterial small subunit ribosomal RNA
Source: RNAcentral